UACGUAGGUCACAAGCGUUAUCCGGAAUUAUUGGGCGUAAAGGGUUUCUAGGUGGUAAAGCGGGUUUUCGGUAAAAGCCCCAAGCUUAACUUGGGUUUCGCCGAGAAAACUACUUUGCUUAGAGGGUAGCAGGGGCACAUGGAAUUCCCGGUGUAGCAGUGAAAUGCGUUGAUAUCGGGAAGAACACCAAUGGCGAAGGCAGUGUGCUAGGCUACUCCUGACACUGAAGAACGAAAGCGUGGGGAGCGAACGGG
RNAcentral lists this ribosomal RNA (254 nucleotides) under uncultured bacterium. Its description in RNAcentral is "partial 16S ribosomal RNA". It matches the Rfam family "Bacterial small subunit ribosomal RNA", at positions 524 to 776 of the family's 1533-position model. The record is from RNAcentral.